GAUGAACGCUGGCGGCGUGCCUAAUACAUGCAAGUCGAGCGAACAGACGAGGAGCUUGCUCCUCUGACGUUAGCGGCGGACGGGUGAGUAACACGUGGAUAACCUACCUAUAAGACUGGGAUAACUUCGGGAAACCGGAGCUAAUACCGGAUAAUAUAUUGAACCGCAUGGUUCAAUAGUGAAAGACGGUGUUGCUGUCACUUAUAGAUGGAUCCGCGCUGCAUUAGCUAGUUGGUAAGGUAACGGCUUACCAAGGCGACGAUGCGUAGCCGACCUGAGAGGGUGAUCGGCCACACUGGAACUGAGACACGGUCCAGACUCCUACGGGAGGCAGCAGUAGGGAAUCUUGCGCAAUGGGCGAAAGCCUGACGGAGCAACGCCGCGUGAGUGAGGAAGGUCUUCGGAUCGUAAAACUCUGUUAUUAGGGAAGAACAAAUGUGUAAGUGACUAUGCACGUCUUGACGGUACCUAAGCAGAAAGCCACGGCUAACUACGUG
RNAcentral lists this ribosomal RNA (497 nucleotides) under uncultured bacterium. RNAcentral's name for it is "partial 16S ribosomal RNA". It matches the Rfam family "Bacterial small subunit ribosomal RNA", at positions 28 to 507 of the family's 1533-position model. The record is from RNAcentral.